RNAcentral lists this ribosomal RNA (369 nucleotides) under uncultured organism. RNAcentral describes it as "bacterial SSU rRNA". It matches the Rfam family "Bacterial small subunit ribosomal RNA", at positions 528 to 896 of the family's 1533-position model. The record is from RNAcentral.
GAGGGUGCAAACGUUGUUCGGAAUUACUGGGCGUAAGCGUGUGUAGGCGGCUAAGUAAGUCGGAUGUGAAAGCCCCGGGCUCAACCCGGGAAGUGCACUCGAAACUGCUUAGCUUGAGUAUCGGAGAGGUUGGUGGAAUUCUCGGUGUAGAGGUGAAAUUCGUAGAUAUCGAGAGGAACACCGGUGGCGAAGGCGGCCAACUGGACGAAUACUGACGCUGAGACACGAAAGCGUGGGGAGCAAACAGGAUUAGAUACCCUGGUAGUCCACGCCGUAAACGAUGGGUGCUAGGUGUCACGGGCUUUGACUCCUGUGGUGCCGUAGCAAACGCAUUAAGCACCCCGCCUGGGAAGUACGGCCGCAAGGCUA